This 497-nucleotide ribosomal RNA is filed under the name uncultured bacterium. RNAcentral describes it as "partial 16S ribosomal RNA". It matches the Rfam family "Bacterial small subunit ribosomal RNA", at positions 28 to 507 of the family's 1533-position model. The record is from RNAcentral.
GACGAACGCUGGCGGCGUGCCUAGUACAUGCAAGUUGAGCGCUGAAGGUUGGUACUUGUACCAACUGGAUGAGCAGCGAACGGGUGAGUAACGCGUGGGGAAUCUGCCUUUGAGCGGGGGACAACAUUUGGAAACGAAUGCUAAUACCGCAUAAAAACUUUAAACACAAGUUUUAAGUUUGAAAGAUGCAAUUGCAUCACUCAAAGAUGAUCCCGCGUUGUAUUAGCUAGUUGGUGAGGUAAAGGCUCACCAAGGCGAUGAUACAUAGCCGACCUGAGAGGGUGAUCGGCCACAUUGGGACUGGGACACGGCCCAAACUCCUACGGGAGGCAGCAGUAGGGAAUCUUCGGCAAUGGACGAAAGUCUGACCGAGCAACGCCGCGUGAGUGAAGAAGGUUUUCGGAUCGUAAAACUCUGUUGGUAGAGAAGAACGUUGGUGAGAGUGGAAAGCUCAUCAAGUGACGGUAACUACCCAGAAAGGGACGGCUAACUACGUG